RNAcentral lists this ribosomal RNA (468 nucleotides) under uncultured bacterium. RNAcentral describes it as "partial 16S ribosomal RNA". It matches the Rfam family "Bacterial small subunit ribosomal RNA", at positions 28 to 507 of the family's 1533-position model. The record is from RNAcentral.
GACGAACGCUGGCGGCGUGCUUAACACAUGCAAGUCGAACGGAAAGGCCCUGCUUUUGUGGGGUUCUCGAGUGGCGAACGGGUGAGUAACACGUGAGUAACCUGCCCUUGACUUUGGGAUAACUUCAGGAAACUGGGGCUAAUACCGGAUAGUAGCUCCUGCUGCAUGGUGGGGGUUGGAAAGUUUCGGCGGUUGGGGAUGGACUCGCGGCUUAUCAGCGUGUUGGUGGGGUAGUGGCUUACCAAGGCUUUGACGGGUAGCCGGCCUGAGAGGGUGACCGGCCACAUUGGGCCUGAGAUACGGCCCAGAGUGCUACGGGAGGCAACAGUGGGGAAUCUUGUACAAUGGGCGGAAGCCUGAUGAAGCAACGCCGCGUGCGGGAUGACGGCCUUCGGGUUGUAAACCGCUUUCGCCUGUGACGAAGCGUGAGUGACGGUAAUGGGUAAAGAAGCACCGGCUAACUACGUG